Small nuclear RNA from Myotis lucifugus (little brown bat), 139 nucleotides. Its record names the gene U2. It matches the Rfam family "U2 spliceosomal RNA". Rfam says of the family: U2 is a small nuclear RNA (snRNA) component of the spliceosome (involved in pre-mRNA splicing). The record is from Ensembl. NCBI's taxonomy places the organism in Eukaryota, Metazoa, Chordata, Mammalia, Chiroptera, Vespertilionidae.
AUUGCUUCUCGGCCUUUUGGCUAAGAUCUAGUGUAGUAUCUGUUCUUAUCAGUUUAAUUAUACAGUUAGUCCCUUAAAUUCAAGGAUUUCCUUGGAAUUUAUUUUGCCGGUAGCAUUUUAUCAUAAAAGAAGAAUCACU